Molecule: long non-coding RNA, 443 nt
Organism: Oncorhynchus tshawytscha (Chinook salmon)
Lineage: Eukaryota; Metazoa; Chordata; Actinopteri; Salmoniformes; Salmonidae
Source: Ensembl
CUGCAAUACUGCCAUUAGAGAUCAAAUAAGAUGGAAUUGCCAGUAUUUGGAAAAUUGGUUAUUCACAAUUUUAAAUAGUAGGCCUAUUCUGUUUUAUUUAAUGGUUCCAAUCUGUCAUGUGGAGUGACCAGAACUACACUGUUAUAUCAGGGUGUUGUAACUAAGGCAGUUGGAGUAGACUUGGUAUCUAACCAGAACUACACUGUUUUAUCAGGGUGUUGUAACUAAGGCAGUUGGAGUAGACUUGGUAUCUAACCAGAACUACACUGUUUUAUCAGGGUGUUGUAACUAAGGCAGUUGGAGUAGACUUGGUAUCUAACCAGAACUACACUGUUAUAUUAGGGGGUUGUAACCAAGGCAGUUGGAGUAGACUUGGUAUCUAACCAGAACCAGAACUACACUGUUAUAUUAGUGUGUUGUAACUAAGGCAGUUGGAGUAGACU